RNAcentral lists this long non-coding RNA (335 nucleotides) under Phaseolus vulgaris (common bean). RNAcentral's name for it is "long non-coding RNA (PVUL_LNC002956)". Lineage: Eukaryota; Viridiplantae; Streptophyta; Magnoliopsida; Fabales; Fabaceae. The record is from RNAcentral.
UGAAAAUGGGUUUAAGAGUUUUUUUGAAAAUGGGUUUGGGAAGCGCAAACGGUAACUGAAGGUAACCGUUGAUGAAGCCACGUGUCGAGUGAUGGACGAGGGGUUUGGUGGAGCGUCAGAGCAGCAGAAAGUACAACCGCUUGGAAUUCUGCGUCAGUGCCACGUAGACCGGUGUUGACGUGACUCUUUCAGUCUUUUCGCUGGACAAGUCUUCGCUUAAGACUAGGGGGCUUGUGUACCGCCCUGGUAGUCGGAAGUGAUGACGUGGCAUCCCGCUACAGUAUAGGCGUGUUGACAAGGCGCCAGGUUGGCAGAAGGGAAGGAAGUCGGGGGGC